RNAcentral lists this long non-coding RNA (2523 nucleotides) under Gossypium barbadense (sea-island cotton). RNAcentral's name for it is "long non-coding RNA (GBAR_LNC003886)". The record is from RNAcentral. Lineage: Eukaryota; Viridiplantae; Streptophyta; Magnoliopsida; Malvales; Malvaceae.
CUGCAUCAUCAGCCGCAGUUGGAUCGGGAUUCAUUUACUAUAAAAAAAAUCAUUUAAAAGGUCAGAAGUCGUCACACUAUCACAAUAUAUAUAUGGCAUGUAUAGCAAAACCCGUACAUACAACACAUUAGUCCGAGAACCGACUAAACCUACUCUGAUACCACAAAAUGUAACGCCCCCACGCCCGAGACCGUCGCCGGAGUCGAGCACGAGGCAUUACUAAACUUGUUUGAGCACUUAAACAAAUUCGGACAAGCUGUCCAACUGCGUCACAUUUACUUAAAAAUUCAUAUCUCGAGUUCCGAAACUCGAAAUCGAAUUCCGUAAAUUUUUCCUUAAACUAGACUCAUAUAUAUAUCUACUAAUUUUUUUUAUAGAAUUUUUGGUAGGGCCAAUUAGUACAGUUUAUUAGUUAAAGUCUCCCCUAUUUCAGGGUUUGACUGCUCUGACCUCUAUGUAUUACAAAUCAUAUAUCUCCCUGUACAGAGUUUCAAUAACUAUGCCGUUUGUUUCUCCUGAAACUAGACUCAAUAAGGAUUCUAAGAAUAUAAAAUACACCACCUAAUUAUUUUAGUACAAUUUAUGGUGAAUUUCUAAAGUCAGAAUAGGGGAUCCAGAAAUCACUCUGGCCCUGUUUCACAAAAAUUCAAAUAUCUCAUAAAAUAUAAUUCAUAUACCUGUUUUGUUCAAUCCAUAUGAAAAUAGACUCAUUAAGAUUAAAUUUUAUAACUUACUCAUCCUUUAAUUCCAUUUCUACCAUUUUUAGUGAUUUUUCAAAUUUACAUCACUGCUGCUGUCAGAUUCUGUUUUAUGACAGAUUUCACUUUACUAAGGAUUUUCAUGGACUAAAUAGCAUUUUAAACAUACAUAACAUCAAAUAUGGACUAAAUGGCCAUUCCAAUGGCUAAUCAUUUACAAACCCUUUUCUUUCCAAACCAUAGCCAUAUCAUAAGAUCAUUUACACAAAGUGAGUAUUUUGCCAUACAUGCCACAUUCAAAACACACAAGCCAUUUUACCAAUUUAGGCCUUCGGAUAGUGUGAACGAGUCUUCGACCUAUCCCAAUUCUCAAGCCGACUUGUUAAAACUACAAUGAACGAAAAGGAGGGAGUAAGCAUAAAUGCUUAGUAAGUUCAUAUGCAAAUAACAAGUAACAUAACCAUACAAUUAUACCAAACAACCUUAGCAUGGUAUCACCAAAACAUAUAUCACAUUUUUAAACAUCAUUCAUCAUCUUACCACCUUAUCGUUGUUGUAUCUAUUUUCAACCCGAGGGUUAAGUACAUACCUGUCCAAAGUGUCCAUUUCACAACACUUACCAAAACGUCACUUGCAUCUUAAGUAUUCUUCCAUUUCACUAGAAAUUUUACCCGUUGAACACAUCGGAAUAUAAUUCGGAUACAUGGAUAAUUUGCACAUAAGUGCCACAUUUGUAGCCAAGCUACCCUGUAACCCGCCCAUAAGUGAACUCGGACUCAACUCAACGAGCUCAGGCGUUUGCAUCCAUAAGUGAACUCAGACUCAACUCAACGAGUUCGGAUGCCUAGUUACAUCUCACGAACUCGGACUCAACUCAACGAGUUCGGACAUUCCACAUCCAUAAGUGAACUCGGACUCAACUCAACGAGUUCGGAUGCUCAACCAUCCUAGUGACAUGUCACUUGUAUCCUAAUCUAUUCCUAAGGUUCAAACGGGAUUUUCCUCGAACACGUCUCCUUGCCAUCUUCCGUAAAAUACCGAAACCAAUACUCGGUAGCACUUUAUAUUUAACAAAUAAUACACUUAAUUUGCAUUUUAUUCGAAAAUAACCACAAAGCAUAUAUUUCAUGAUAAGAAUCAGCAUAUCCUAUAUUUAACAUCAAUAAGUUAAAAAUAACAAUUAUGCUACAUUAUUUACACAUGAACUUACCUCGGUACAAAAUUUUUAACAAUCGAGCCUAUUCCUCGUAAACUUUGUUUUUCCCCCGAUCACGACUUGAAUCUCGUUUCUCUUGAUCUAUAAUACCAAAUUAAUCUUAUUUAAUACAUACAUUCAUUAAAACAGUCCUUAAUACGAACUUUGGCAAAAUUACCAUUUUACCCAUAAACUUUUUCAUAAUUACACUUUUGCCCCUAGGCUCGGGAAUUAAACUUCAUCCCUUAUUAUUAUGUUUUAUGACAUGCUGAUAAUUUUUCCCUUCUAUGGAAACAUCAAAUUCUCACUCUAACAUGUAUUUAUGACUACUAAAUAUUUUUUUUACCGAUUAAGCCUUUUUACUCGUUUUCACUCAAAACCGAGUAGCACAAGUUGUCUAACAAAAUUUAAAACCUCAUAUUUUGUCAUAAAACACCAAAAUACACAAAUUUUACCUAUGGGUAUUUUUCCAAAUAUGAACCAUAGGUUGAAUUAUUGUUAACAUAAGCUAAAUCGAGCUACCGGGAUUUCAAAAACAUAAAAAUCAUUAAAAACAGGGCUUGAAAUCACUUACUAUGAAGUUUGAAAGUUGAAGAAACCCCAGCUAUGGAGGAGAGCAAAAAUCGGCAG